CCGUAUAUACCUCAAUAGGGAGGGGGGCGGGGAAAACGCCACAAAAAGGUGCGAGUCCUUUGUACGGC
Molecule: non-coding RNA, 68 nt
Organism: Amphimedon queenslandica
Lineage: Eukaryota; Metazoa; Porifera; Demospongiae; Haplosclerida; Niphatidae
Source: the annotation of a RefSeq genome assembly